Acinonyx jubatus (cheetah) is the source of this 476-nucleotide long non-coding RNA. RefSeq lists it as uncharacterized. The record is from RefSeq and is a predicted model, not a curated record. The transcript has 3 exons. Lineage: Eukaryota; Metazoa; Chordata; Mammalia; Carnivora; Felidae.
CUUAACACAUUGGUGUCAUGAGAAAAGGGACUACUUUAGAUUAAAAGAGACUUAAGAUACAUAAUCAGAAUCAAUUCUUGUUUCUAGAUUGGACCCUGGUUUAGACAGACAAGGGGCAAAGGAUCUUUUUGAAGAGACAACUGGGAAGAUUUGAAUUCAGACUGAGUAUUAGAUGAGAUGAAAAUGUAUUAUCUUGGAAGACUUUCUAUGGGCAAGAUGUUUUACAAGUUCUUAGUGCUGGCGUAUAUCUGAAUUUUUGGAUGUAUUCCUCCUGAGACUAAUAUGCCUGCUGUAUUCAAAACACCUUCAGCAUCAGUGUUGGGAAGACCAACCAAAAUCUUAAUAACAAAGGACAGAGGUAAAGGAAAUCUUCCCUUUCCUUGACAUAGGCUGCACUUUAUGGAUUUCUCCUUGUCUCUGGCAUCUAUGGUAGUUGUAAACGCACCAGAAGGAAUAUUUCACCUUCCUUUUUACUG